UACGUAGGGGGCAAGCGUUAUCCGGAUUUACUGGGUGUAAAGGGAGCGUAGACGGCAUGGCAAGCCAGAUGUGAAAGCCCGGGGCUCAACCCCGGGACUGCAUUUGGAACUGUCAGGCUAGAGUGUUGGAGAGGAAAGCGGAAUUCCUAGUGUAGCGGUGAAAUGCGUAGAUAUUAGGAGGAACACCAGUGGCGAAGGCGGCUUUCUGGACGAUGACUGACGUUGAGGCUCGAAAGCGUGGGGAGCAAACAGG
RNAcentral lists this ribosomal RNA (253 nucleotides) under Mediterraneibacter gnavus ATCC 29149. Its description in RNAcentral is "[Ruminococcus] gnavus ATCC 29149 partial 16S ribosomal RNA". It matches the Rfam family "Bacterial small subunit ribosomal RNA", at positions 524 to 776 of the family's 1533-position model. The record is from RNAcentral. Lineage: Bacteria; Bacillati; Bacillota; Clostridia; Lachnospirales; Lachnospiraceae.